Molecule: ribosomal RNA, 206 nt
Filed under: uncultured bacterium
Lineage: Bacteria
Description: partial 16S ribosomal RNA
Rfam family: Bacterial small subunit ribosomal RNA
Source: RNAcentral
CGGAUUGAAGGCUGAAGUUCGCCUUCAUGAAGCUGGAAUUGCUAGUAAUGGCAGGUCAGCAUACUGCCGUGAAUACGUUCCCGGGCCUUGUACACACCGCCCGUCACACCAUGAGAGUUGGAAAUACCCGAAGCCUGUGAGCUAACUUAAAGAGGCAGCAGUCGAAGGUAGAGCCAAUGAUUGGGGUGAAGUCGUAACAAGGUAGC